Molecule: ribosomal RNA, 493 nt
Filed under: uncultured bacterium
Lineage: Bacteria
Description: partial 16S ribosomal RNA
Rfam family: Bacterial small subunit ribosomal RNA
Source: RNAcentral
AUUGAACGCUGGCGGCAUGCUUUACACAUGCAAGUCGAACGGUAACAGGUUAAGCUGACGAGUGGCGAACGGGUGAGUAAUGCAUCGGAACGUGCCCGGUCGUGGGGGAUAACGCAGCGAAAGCUGCGCUAAUACCGCAUACGAUCUGAGGAUGAAAGCGGGGGACCGUAAGGCCUCGCGCGAUCGGAGCGGCCGAUGUCAGAUUAGGUAGUUGGUGGGGUAAAGGCUCACCAAGCCAACGAUCUGUAGCUGGUCUGAGAGGACGACCAGCCACACUGGGACUGAGAGACGGCCCUGACUCCGACGGAAGGCAGCAGUGGGGAAGUUUGGACAAUGGGCGAAAGGCUGAUCCAGCAAUGCCGGGUGCAGGAAGAGGGCCUUCGGGUGGUAAACUGCUUUUGUACGGGGCGAAAAGGUCUCCUCUGAUACAGGGGGCUCAUGACGGUACCGUAAGAAUAAGCACCGGCUAACUACGUGCCAGCAGCCGCCGUAA